Paramuricea clavata is the source of this 268-nucleotide non-coding RNA. The record is from the annotation of a GenBank genome assembly. Lineage: Eukaryota; Metazoa; Cnidaria; Anthozoa; Malacalcyonacea; Plexauridae.
CGAAAUAGCGACGUUUGACAAAUCUCGCCGAUACGUUUGAACAACGCGAAAGCACGUUCAAGACUAGAUAUCCUGCGUUUCACAACUCAUAAUUUCCUGAUAUUACAAUAUAAAAUGUCUGUACAAAUUACAGUCGUGCCAAUAGAAGCGUUCCGAACAAUUUUGAUCAGUUCAUUUCCAUGCGUCGAUCACAGAACAAUUCCUCAAUCAUUUGAAGAAGUUCCUUAGAAAUUUCCUAGCUUCCUGUGCAGAUAAACCAAUCAUGUUA